UAGUUGCUCUCCAGAACUGAAGUUACAGUUUCUUAGCAACGAUGUGAAUUGCGAACAGAUCCAAGGAGGAACUAUACAGGAACAGACAGAUUUCUCAGAGGAGUAGAAAAGAAUGCAAUGGUUGUUAGCUGUGUUGAUCCUUCUUCA
Molecule: long non-coding RNA, 147 nt
Organism: Diceros bicornis minor
Lineage: Eukaryota; Metazoa; Chordata; Mammalia; Perissodactyla; Rhinocerotidae
Exons: 3
Source: RefSeq, a predicted model, not a curated record